RNAcentral lists this ribosomal RNA (253 nucleotides) under uncultured bacterium. RNAcentral describes it as "partial 16S ribosomal RNA". It matches the Rfam family "Bacterial small subunit ribosomal RNA", at positions 524 to 776 of the family's 1533-position model. The record is from RNAcentral.
UACGAAGGGGGCUAGCGUUGCUCGGAAUCACUGGGCUUAAAGGGCGCGUAGGCGGGUGCUCAAGUCCGUGGUGAAAUCCUCCGGCUCAACCGGAGAACUGCCUCGGAUACUGGGCGUCUCGAGUGUGGUAGGGGUAUGCGGAACUAUCGGUGGAGCGGUGAAAUGCGUUGAUAUCGAUAGGAACUCCGGUGGCGAAGGCGGCAUACUGGACCACCACUGACGCUGAUGCGCGAAAGCCAGGGGAGCAAACGGG